AGGGCUUAUGAGGGAUACCUAGGCAUUCAGAAGCGAUGAAGGACGUGGCUACCUACGAUAAGCUUCGGGUAGCUGGAAGCAAGCUGUGAUCCGAAGAACUCCGAAUGAGGAAACUCUUAAAACUCCUUGUUGAAUAUAUAGACAAGAAAGAGCAAACCUGGGGAAUUGAAACAUCUUAGUACCCGGAGGAAAAGAAAGUAAACUACGAUUACCUUAGUAGCGGCGAGCGAAAUGGUAAGGACGCCUAAACUAAUUUUAUUAGGGUUGUUGGGACAGCGAAUAAAAAAAACGUUAGGAGAAGUAUUUGGAAUAAUACACCAUAGAAAGUGAAAGUCUUGUACCUUAAAACAAUAUAAACUUACUGUAUCCCGAGUAGCAUGGAGCACGUGUAAUUCCGUGUGAAUCAGCGAGGACCACCUCGCAAGGCUGAAUAUUCCUGAAUGACCGAUAGUGAACCAGUACCGUGAGGGAAAGGUGAAAAGAACCCCGGGAGGGGAGUGAAAUAGAACAUGAAAUCGUAAGUUUACAAGCAGUGGAAGAGCGACUUAACGCUCGACUUCGUGCCUGUUGAAGAAUGAGCUGGCGACUUGUAGGUUAUGGCAAGGUUAAGAUAAGAGAAUAUCGGAGCCAUAGUGAAAGCGAGCCUGAUAAGGGCUUUAAGUCAUAAUUUACAGACCCGAACCCGGAUGAUCUAACCAUGGCCAGUGUGAAGCUUAGGUAACACUAAGUGGAGGUACCAACCGACUGUUGUUGAAAAAACAGCGGAUGAGUUGUGGUUAGGGGUGAAAUUCCAAUCGAAUCCGGAGCUAGCUGGAUCUCCCCGAAAUGCGUUGAGGCGCAGCGGUUAAUGUUUCUUCUUAGGGGUAAAGCUACUGUUUUGGUGCGGGCUGCGAGAGCGGUACCAAAUCAAGGCAAACUCUGAAUACUAAGACGGUUAAUUAACCAGUGAGACAUUGGGGGAUAAGCUUCAAUGUCAAGAGGGAAACAGCCCAGAUUACUAGCUAAGGCCCCUAAAUAAUUACUAAGUGGCAAAGGAGGUGGGAUUGCAGAGACAAUCAGGAGGUUUGCCCAGAAGCAGCAAUCCUUUAAAGAGUGCGUAAUAGCUCACUGUUCGAGUGAUCCUGCGCCGAAAAUGAAUGGGGCUAAGCAAUUUGCCGAAACUGUAAGAUGUUAAAACAUCGGUAGGGGAGCGUUCUACAUUAGUUUGAAGCGUUAGCGGAAGCGGGCGUGGACGAAGUAGAAGUGAGAAUGUCAGCUUGAGUAGCGAAAACAUUGGUGAGAAUCCAAUGCCCCGAAAACCUAAGGGUUCCUCCGGAAGGCUCGUCCGCGGAGGGUGAGUCAGGUCCUAAGGUAAGGCUGAAAAGCGUAGUCGAUGGAUAACAGGUUAAUAUUCCUGUACUGUUUAUUGUUGGUAAAGGGGGACGGAGAAGGCUAGGUCGACCGAAUGUUGGUUAUCGGCUUAAAUAUUCGAGGUUAUGAGGACUGGUGAAAACAGUCUGAGCUGAGAUAUGAAUAGGAAAGUGUCAAGACACUGAACCGGCUGAUGUCAUACUUCCAAGAAAAGCCCUAACUACCAUAAGCAAUAAAUACCUGUACCCUAAACCGACACAGGUGGGUAAGUAGAGAAUACUAAGGGGCGCGAGAUAACUCUCUCUAAGGAACUCGGCAAAAUGGCCUCGUAACUUCGGGAGAAGAGGUACCCUUAAUUGGGUUGCAAGAACCAGACGCUGGCGACUGUUUACCAAAAACACAGGUCUCCGCAAAGUCGUAAGACGAUAUAUGGGGGCUGACACCUGCCCAGUGCCGGAAGGUUAAGGAAGCUUGUUAGUCUUUGACGAAGCUCGCGACUGAAGCCCCGGUGAACGGCGGCCGUAACUAUAACGGUCCUAAGGUAGCGAAAUUCCUUGUCGGGUAAGUUCCGACCCGCACGAAAGGUGUAACGAUCUGCGUACUGUCUCGGAGAGAGACUCGGCGAAAUAGACUUGUCUGUGAAGAUGCGGACUACCUGCACCUGGACAAAAAGACCCUAUGAAGCUUUACUGUAGCUUGAAAUUGGCUCCGGGCUUUAUUUGCGCAGGAUAGGUGGGAGGCGUUGAAGAUCUUCUUGCGGGGAGAUUGGAGCCAUUGGUGAGAUACCACUCUAAUAAAGCUAGGAUUCUAACCCUAUACCGUUAUCCGGUUAGGGAACAGUCUCAGGUGGUCAGUUUGACUG
This 2212-nucleotide ribosomal RNA is filed under the name seawater metagenome. RNAcentral describes it as "bacterial LSU rRNA". It matches the Rfam family "Bacterial large subunit ribosomal RNA", at positions 14 to 2276 of the family's 2925-position model. The record is from RNAcentral.